Molecule: long non-coding RNA, 1241 nt
Organism: Salvia splendens (bonfire salvia)
Lineage: Eukaryota; Viridiplantae; Streptophyta; Magnoliopsida; Lamiales; Lamiaceae
Exons: 5
Source: RefSeq, a predicted model, not a curated record
AUUUUAUUCUGCUCCGUGAAAAUACUAAAUUAAAUCAAUGGCUAAUUAAAUAGCCAUGAUUUACAAAAUAUCCUCCUUAUUUCUCCAUCAAUGACACGCCAUUUCCUCCCCCAAAAUCUUCCCAAAUAUCUCAAUCAUUUAUUUCAAUUAUUCUCCCAAAUCUUCAAUUAAUUGUGGGAUAUUUCUUAAUCCUAUAAACAAAGGAUCAACCCCUAAACCUAACACACAAAUCACACGCCCACUUCUUCAAACCACACGCCCCACCCCCUUUUUCAUCUCUUCUCCCACUUGUUAUCCAUUUCACUCAAGAUCCUAUCAAUUUUCCAAGAGAUUGUUGAAGAACCAAGGUUUUAAUUGCUUCCUACCAAUUAUUUCGUCCAAGAAAAGGUGAAAUUUUGUGCGAGACGCGUGAUACCAAAGGAAAAGCGAAACUUGAAAACUAAAGGAUCGAGGUUGAGCGGCGACGGGCGGUUGGCGGUGUUGAGCAGGAACUAAUAAUGAACUGUGGUUGUUUUGGUUUUGAAAUUCCGAGUGUCGUUGUGUCUUCACACAUGACGUCACUCUUCUCUUGGAUGCUUCCGCUGUGAUAUUUUUCUUAGAAUACUUUUCAUUUAAAUUCUGAAACUAUUUUAUGAUGGGAUGUUUGAAACUCGUUACACUUUUUGAAUAAAUGCUAAACCCUAGUCUUUAUUCAUUAAACCCUAAUACUCUUGGUCGCAUUAUUUAUUAGACUUAGUUUUUAGUCAAACUUUUAUUGAAAACCCUAGUCUUCUAUGCCGUUCAUCUAAACCCCUUUAAGUCGCGAUCGCCCGCUUUUAUUAACCCUAAGGGGCGGUCGUGACAGCUUUAGCUCGGGUACUUUGCCAUGAACUUCACGACAAGUUCCUCCAGCAUGGUCUGAACUCAGGGAUUGGACAAAGAAGACAUGCUAUUUAAGCUAUACAGUUCUAUAAGUGGUCAAAGCAUGGAAAGAAUAGAAGAGCUUCUCCAGGAGGACCAGAAUGUCAAGCGGAGGAAAGAGCGUAUCCAGAAACAGUCCUCUAUUCUUUCCAAGCUUACUACACAACUCUGUAUUAAUGAUAAUCUGGCAGCCGCUGCAUCCACCUAUUCCAAUGAAGUAGAAAGUUCAACCAUUGCUGGCCCAUCUUCCCGGGAGGUCUGGAGAUGCUACGUUUGAUGCUGCUGCCAGCGGUCCAAACCUAUCAUAUGGGGAUUCUAGAUCAAAUUGUCUCAGUCGCCGG